RNAcentral lists this ribosomal RNA (406 nucleotides) under uncultured bacterium. RNAcentral describes it as "partial 16S ribosomal RNA". It matches the Rfam family "Bacterial small subunit ribosomal RNA", at positions 30 to 526 of the family's 1533-position model. The record is from RNAcentral.
AUUGAACGCUGGCGGCAGGCCUAACACAUGCAAGUCGACCGAGUGGCGGACGGGUGAGUAAUGUCUGUGAAACUGCCCCAUGGCGGGGGAUAACUACUUUAAACACUACCUAAUACCGCAUACCCUCGUGUUUGCCCAGAUGGGAUUAGCUAGUAGGUGGGGUAAAGGCUCACCAAGGCGACGAUCCCUAGCUGGUCUGAGAGGAGGACCAGCCACACUGGAACUGAGACACGGUCCAGACUCCUACGGGAGGCAGCAGUGGGGAAUAUUGCACAAUGGGCGAAAGCCUGAUGCAGCCAUGCCGCGUGUAUGAAGAAGGCCUUAGGGUUGUAAAGUACUUUCAGCGGGGAGGCGUUACCCGCAGAAGAAGCACCGGCUAACUCCGUGCCAGCAGCCGCGGUAAUAC